GGGCCCGUAGCUCAGCCAGGUAGGGAAAAUACAUCCACCUAGAGCGGCGGGCUCUUAACCCGUUGGUCGGGGGUUCGAAUCCCCCCGGGCCCG
RNAcentral lists this transfer RNA (93 nucleotides) under Nitrososphaeria archaeon. RNAcentral's name for it is "tRNA-Lys". It matches the Rfam family "tRNA". Rfam says of the family: Transfer RNA (tRNA) molecules are approximately 80 nucleotides in length. Their secondary structure includes four short double-helical elements and three loops (D, anti-codon, and T loops). The record is from RNAcentral. Lineage: Archaea; Thermoproteati; Nitrososphaerota; Nitrososphaeria.